This 9149-nucleotide long non-coding RNA is filed under the name Citrus sinensis (sweet orange). RNAcentral describes it as "long non-coding RNA (CSIN_LNC002625)". Lineage: Eukaryota; Viridiplantae; Streptophyta; Magnoliopsida; Sapindales; Rutaceae. The record is from RNAcentral.
GGUUUAAUUUGCAGUUUUGCUUGCUUGUGUUGCUGCUGUGCCUUGGACGCUUGCUUCUGAACACACAUACGCACGGUUGAUCGUUUGAUUUUGGGGAUUCUUUUUUAUUUCCAUUAUUAUAUUACAUGUAUAAAUAAUAAUGAAAACAGUUCAGAUUGUAUUAGGUCCCAGUCCUAUGUAGCUAACAAUUACAAUUGUUAGAAGUAAUAUUUUCUGCUUAUGGGGAGAAAUAUCCUAAGUGUUUUUGUUGUUUGAAUACUCUCCUCUUUUAUUCAUAUUAUUGGACGGGUGGGCACCCAAGAUGGGCCGAGCCGACCCGACUCACACAUGAUAACCACUUGUUGGUUACCAUAAGCAUUUGGGGGAGGGAAGUUGAUUUGUGUUCAACUUCCCAACUUCUACAUAUACAUGCCAUCAAAAUCAUUGCAAUGGAGAUGUGGUUUACUUCUUUAUUCAUUAAAAAGAAAAACAAGAUCUUUGAACAAUCCGUAAAAGGAAAAUAUAUUGUGGCUUGAGAAAGAUUUCCGCUCGUAAUUUCUUUUCGACCAGUGAUGUGAUCCAACACAUAUUUAUUCCGCUGCAUAAUUUGAAAAAAGUAAGGCCUAUUGAUUUUUUUUUUAAGAAUUUCUUCAUUGGUAUUAGAGCCUGAAUUGUGUUGGAUUCGUGCAUUUGUUGGAUUUAAUUCAUGAAAAGCUUGAUUUUUUUUUAAUUUUUGUGAUGUUGUUGUUUUAAGUGUUCUGGAAUGUUUAAUAUGAAUGGAUUAAUUUUGAAAUUGAUAUUAUUAAAACUAGCCUAAGGUUAAGAUUGCAUGAACCCUAAAUAUAUAUGAAACCCGAAACUUCAAUGGAUCAUAUCUUUUGAUUUAGGACACCUGACAAUAUGUGUGAUAUAUCAUUGGAAAGAUCUUUUUGAGAGCUUUCCAACGGUAUGUGAUUUGUUAAAAACGGACUUAAUACGAGAAAUUUAUGACCAAAAUAUGAUUAUGGUAGGAUUAGGAUUUGGAAAGGGUUAAAAACUUUAAUUUGGACAAGAUGAUGAACAGUGCCAGAGUUAGUUUUUUUGACGGUUUCAGCCUAUUCCGACCUCCGUUUGAAAAUCCGAAUGUUCCAUUGAAUUCAUAAUGAAGAUCCAAUGUGCUCGUUAGUGCCGUGACUGGCAGUGCCUCUGGUUGCACUAAAAAAUUCAGCCAAUUUGCUCAUGGUGUCCUCCAGACACUACAGCUUGUCAUUGAUUCCAAUUUUCAUUUGUUCCAUCUUGUUUUGGAAGCUCCCAAUAUCAGCUUCAAUUUGUUCGAUGCGCUUCUUGUUGGUCGUCAUUGAUAGCUAGCUCUUAUACCAAUGUUAGGUCCCAGCCAAAUGUAGCUAACAAUUACAAUUGUUAGAAGUAAUAUUUUUUACUUAUGGUGAGAAGUAAUACUCUUCCCCUUUAUUCAUAUCUCUGGAGCUUAUUUAUAACAAAAGACUUUGAUUUCCAACCCAAUAUCUUAGCUGGAAUCAAUCAACAAAUAUCAAACUAACAACUUGACUAAUAUUUCGAACUGAAAAAUAAAUCAAAAGCAAACUUCCAAGAUUUGGAUCCCCCCUCAAUCUCUGCACGAUCUCUCACAAAGUAAACCCAAAAUCAUGGCUCCGAUUUGGCAUUCACACAUUAACCUCACGUGAGACUUCAUGCAUGGCUUUGGGAAUGGCUUUGCAUGGCACUCUUCACGUAGUGGACUUUGGGUUUGGCUUUGGUAGCCUAUCAGACCUUCGUGGCUCAUGACUCAGCACUCUAUCAGAUUGUUCCUUAGUUUGAUGAUAGGAACGCCACCAUGGCUUGAGUUAUUAUUUUUGUAUACCAUUCUGUCGACUUUUGAUGCACAUACUCUUGUUCUUGUACUUUUGCAUUUUAUUUAUUAUGUAUUUAAUUUUCUGCAGCGGCUGAUUAAUUAAUUUAUCUUUAAAUCAAUGCUUGAUCGCAGAUACAUUUAAUGUUUCUAUUUGAAUUUUUAUUUUUAUUUUAUAAUUUUUUUGUGAGUUUUGUGUAUGCGGUAAAAUCCUUUGUCUUUAUUCGAACAUUGAGAACAAGUACUUAAAACUCUUUCUAGUUUUCAUAUUUCGGAGAGGGGACUGGCUGUUGAUAAACUAAAUAAGUUAUUUUUCUCAUUAAAAAUUUUGUAUUUUAAAAUUAUUCUGAAAAGCUUUAAUAUUUUCGAUUAUAAGUUUAAAGUAAUUUUCACCUUUUUUUUUCAAGUGAGAUUAGUUGAUAUUGCAGGACUUUAAUUAGUUAAAUUAGCUGUCAUAUUUAAAAAAUAAUAAUGUUUAGUUUUUGAAUGAACACAUUUUGCUUUCAAACUUUGUAAAAUUAAAUAAUUUCUAAAAUCAAGCAUACCGCCUAUUAAAAAAAAGGGCAAAAUACCAAAAGCCCACCGAAGCCCACAAAGUUUUGGAUUACGUGCAAACUUAGGACAAAGACUAAUAAGGCCCAAAUUUUAAGUCUUCCAAAUCGUAACAAGCUUCUUUGUCAACUCAAUUUUUUAAAAAUAAAUUUCGAAAUUUGCUAACAAUUAUUUGGUUAAAUUUUAAAGUGUUUGAAAUUAUGAGAUUUUGUAAUUAUAUAUUUAAAAGUUAAUCAUCAAUUGGUAACACUUAUUAAUUCUAAUUGAUUGACACCAACUAAUAACAUAAUGUGACUGAUCUCAUAUAAAACUUUCUCGAUAUAUAAUUAUCGUGGACUACAUGUUUCUUGUUUCGAAAUCGGAGGCCAUUACUAAUUUACCCAAGUGGGGCUUUCCCCAGUGUUUUAAGCAAACGCCUAACACACAUGAUUUUUUAUCAUUAAAAAGAUAGAGAUUUGAGAUGAUGAAAUUGGAUGAUUUGGUGCAUCUAAUUCAUAAUAUGACAAGAUGAGAUUUCACUUACCAACAUAUUUGCUAGUCAAAUAUAAGAAAUUGCAAAACAAGUCGUGUUUUAUUAUAUUCGUUAAAAGCCUUUCAAUCAUGUAUCUGUUGGCCAAUUAAAUUACGCAAUUAACACCCUUUUCUUCAUCUUGUUCAAAAUCAGAUUCGCUGCUUUUACUUCAAAAAAAAACAAUAAAUGAAUCGCAGGUUUCUUUCUUAAACAAAUAAUUUUUUAUUUUUUAUUUUUUAUUUUUAUCUCGAGAGGGAGAGACCUUCCCCCUGGCCAAUAAGUCCGUUUCCACAAUUUGAGGAUGAUUUAUGAGUUUUCUUUAUUUUCGACACAAAAUUCAAUACGUUUGAAGAAAAAAAGAAAUGUGAGUUGGACAAAUUCAUUGGAAAAAAAUUUAGUCAAUUGUGUUAUAAAAUGUAUCUCUCCGACCGUUGUUUUCGUUGAUUUUAUUUGUUAAGUCAGUCUACAACACAAACCCUAAAAUGUUUCAAUCUCACCAAUUAUUUUUUCUAUAAAAUUUUUUUUAUUACAUUUAUAUGGCACUAUUUUUGUUAUACUUUCAAUUUUUUUUUUUUUGUCAGCACGUUACAAAAUACAAGAGCAUUUAACGUAGUUUAUGAACACCCAGGUUCUAAAUGGUUAAUAGAACAAGGACUGACGUUAAUUUAGGAAGUGAAAAUUUUCAUCUAUAUCCAAAUCUAAAAAAUAAUAAUAUAAAAUUAAAUAAAACACCUGUAACUUUAAGACAUACAUAUCCUCAAUGCUGGGAGUCGUAAUGAAAAGAAGAAGAAUUACAACAAAAUUGGGGACCAUAAUGGAAACUGGUAGAACCUACAAGGGCUAAUCUUAUCUUUCAAUUGAUUUUUGUGGAGCCAGAAACAAUUAAACCCGAACAGCAAAUAGCCAUAAAUGAAAGCACAAUUAAAUUGGAACUCUCCGCAGACCCACGAUUUAAUAUCUUUAGAUUGUAACGAUUCAACCCAAAAAAAUAUUCUAGUAAAAUAUUUCUUAAAAAAAUGCUUCUUCACGUCACAACGUUGAAAACAAGAACAAAAUUGUGGUCCACGUGUCAUUUCAAAGUAGGUUGCUGGCAUAAACAUCCGGCUCCAUCCCGGACAGAUGUUAUGUGAGUGGUUGGUACGCGUUUCCACUUUUUUGUUUCAGAUGCAACGACUCAUGCACUAAAAAAAAAAAAUAAAUAAAUUUACGUUUAAGUUUUAAAAAUUAAUAUCGAUUUAAAUAUGAAUCUAAUGUUAAACUCUUAUUCAGGCAUCGAUUGUACUCGGCAAAAUAAUAAUAAUAAUAAUUAAGAAGCAGAGGCCAGGCAGGCGGUUGUAGGGCUGCUGCUAUCUUAUAGUUUUAGAAGAAGGUUCUUUUCUUUCUUUAGAGUUGAUGCCGUGAGACGUUUUUUAUAUUAUUAUGAUAACUUUGGUUGCGGAUUCAAUUGAAAUAAUAAUUCUUCUUCGACGCGUACCGACCGCCCUCGCUAAACUCUCCUUCCAAGAAAUUAACAACAACCACUCCGCCAUUUUUCUUCUAUAAAUACAUAUACUUCACACACAUUUACAUAUUUACACCCACUCUCGUCGACAUCAUCAUCAUCAAUUAACAUAUCUCCAACUUCAGCUUCUUCUCCCACCUAACUUGUCAUUUUUCUUCCUUUGCCUUUGCCAGUCUUUUCUCUCUUCUAUCAACUGCAAGCAUGAGCUCCUACAAUCAGAAUCAGUCCUCAGGUAACUAAAUCAUCUGCAUAUCCUACUUCUCCUCCUGUUGUUACGUUCCCAAGUUUUUAAAUUGUGAAUUUUGAAUCUACAUGUUUUAUCUUAACUGGGUAAUUGUGUAUAUGUAGUAGCAUACCCCCCACCACCACCGUCUACAACGGCGGGUCUGUACGUGGCGGCGCCACCACCGGCAGGUUAUCCAACGAAAGACGGCGAUCAUGGUUACGCUCAAAAUGCCCCCGUAGAAACCAAGUCCAGAGGUGAUGGCUUCUGGAAAGGAUGGUAUGCAAUCUUUAUGUGUUUCACCUCACCUUAUGUUAAUUAUUCGUAUAUAUGUAUAUACACACGCACAUCUAUCAUAUGUGUAGUGACUGAUUUGGUCGGUUUAAUUUGCAGUUGUGCUGGCUUGUGUUGCUGCUGUGCCUUGGACGCCUGCUUCUGAACACACAUACGCACGGUUGAUCGUUUGAUUUUGGGGAUUCUUUUUUAUUUCCAUUAUUAUAUUACGUGUAUAAAUAAUAAUAAUAAAAACAGUUCAGAUUGUUCCUUAGUUUGAUGAUAGGAACGCCCCCGUGGCUUGAGUUAUUAUUUUUGUAUACCAUUCUGUAGCCUUUUGAUACACAUACUCUUAUUUUUGUAUACCAUUCUGUAGACUUUUGAUACACAUACUCUUGUUCUUGUACUUUGAAUUUUAUUUACUAUGUAUUUAAUUCUCUGCAGUGGCUGAUUAAUUUAUCUUUAAAUCAAUGCUUGAUUGUAGAUACAUUUUCAAUACAAAAUAAGAACGAGUUGGUUUGGGGCCAACACAAACGCAUACAUACAUGCAAUCACAUGGAAAGCACGUUCAUAACAAGAAUGAAAAUAUCAUGAUUUUAACAUAUUUUUCAAAAACAUAUUUUUGGAUUUAUCCUAUGAAUAAUCAAAAGUCUAUCACAAUCUUUUAAAUCAGCAUUAUAAACCAUCAACUUAAAAAAGAAGGAGCAACCAACAUAAUUUUUGUAACAACGUUGUUUUAGUAAAAUUUAAUUUCAUUACGAAAAGUUCACUUCGUCUGGUCAACUAUAACAAAGAUAGAAAUACAAGCUCAUUCUUUAGCAUUGAUGCCGUGUGCUUUUGAGUCAGAGGAAUGAUUUUCAAUUGAGUGCUAACUGCUUCGAGAGAAAAUAACUCGUUCUCCGCUGGUGUAAAGACUAAAGAGAUGCCCGAUUUGGUGUACUUUCCAACCUUUUGAAUCCGAACACAAAAUUCCAAACAAAACUGUCAAAGCUGACCUUUGCGAAAGAAACGAAAUGACACCUGCACCCAUCAAGUGAAAAUAGUUUAUUUGAUGCGAUUUAUAGGAUAAUUUAUUUCAUUAUUUCUACUGUACCGACUAAAUAAUCUGGUAGAUAUCACAACACUUUAAUCAUAAAUUUUUUUAAAGAGUGGUAUCAAAUAAUUAGUUAGACUACAUUUUAAUUUGUUAAAAGUCUUCUUUAAGUCCUAUUUGUUAUUGAGAUACUGUAACUUUUAAGAUACAUCUCUUAUUGGGAAAAAAAAUCUUGUAGUUAUAAAAUAAAAAUUAAUAGUAUGUAGUAAAUGUAAUUAUUAAAUAAUAAUUUUAACAAAAUUAGUAAAGAUAUUAAUAGAUUUUUCAUUAUAUAAGUGUAAAAUUAUAAGUGUAAAAUCAAAUUAAUUCAACUUCUAAUCUACAAUAACUAGUAUUUAUUAAAUGGGAAAAGGACAAACACACCCCCAACGUUUAGACAAAGGGACAAAAAUCCUCCUAACGUUUCAAAAAAGACAUUUACACCCCUAUUCACUAACGGAAACAGUAACGUUUAACUGAAAUUACCGUUAUACCCUUCUAGCAUAUAAAAAAGAUUAUUGAUUAUCCAAUUUUUUGCAUUUAACGUAGUUUAUGAACACCCAGGUUCUAAAUGGUUAAUAGAACAAGGACUGACGUUAAUUUAGGAAGUGAAAAUUUUCAUCUAUAUCCAAAUCUAAAAAAUAAUAAUAUAAAAUUAAAUAAAACACCUGUAACUUUAAGACAUACAUAUCCUCAAUGCUGGGAGUCGUAAUGAAAAGAAGAAGAAUUACAACAAAAUUGGGGACCAUAAUGGAAACUGGUAGAACCUACAAGGGCUAAUCUUAUCUUUCAAUUGAUUUUUGUGGAGCCAGAAACAAUUAAACCCGAACAGCAAAUAGCCAUAAAUGAAAGCACAAUUAAAUUGGAACUCUCCGCAGACCCACGAUUUAAUAUCUUUAGAUUGUAACGAUUCAACCCAAAAAAAUAUUCUAGUAAAAUAUUUCUUAAAAAAAUGCUUCUUCACGUCACAACGUUGAAAACAAGAACAAAAUUGUGGUCCACGUGUCAUUUCAAAGUAGGUUGCUGGCAUAAACAUCCGGCUCCAUCCCGGACAGAUGUUAUGUGAGUGGUUGGUACGCGUUUCCACUUUUUUGUUUCAGAUGCAACGACUCAUGCACUAAAAAAAAAAAAUAAAUAAAUUUACGUUUAAGUUUUAAAAAUUAAUAUCGAUUUAAAUAUGAAUCUAAUGUUAAACUCUUAUUCAGGCAUCGAUUGUACUCGGCAAAAUAAUAAUAAUAAUAAUUAAGAAGCAGAGGCCAGGCAGGCGGUUGUAGGGCUGCUGCUAUCUUAUAGUUUUAGAAGAAGGUUCUUUUCUUUCUUUAGAGUUGAUGCCGUGAGACGUUUUUUAUAUUAUUAUGAUAACUUUGGUUGCGGAUUCAAUUGAAAUAAUAAUUCUUCUUCGACGCGUACCGACCGCCCUCGCUAAACUCUCCUUCCAAGAAAUUAACAACAACCACUCCGCCAUUUUUCUUCUAUAAAUACAUAUACUUCACACACAUUUACAUAUUUACACCCACUCUCGUCGACAUCAUCAUCAUCAAUUAACAUAUCUCCAACUUCAGCUUCUUCUCCCACCUAACUUGUCAUUUUUCUUCCUUUGCCUUUGCCAGUCUUUUCUCUCUUCUAUCAACUGCAAGCAUGAGCUCCUACAAUCAGAAUCAGUCCUCAGGUAACUAAAUCAUCUGCAUAUCCUACUUCUCCUCCUGUUGUUACGUUCCCAAGUUUUUAAAUUGUGAAUUUUGAAUCUACAUGUUUUAUCUUAACUGGGUAAUUGUGUAUAUGUAGUAGCAUACCCCCCACCACCACCGUCUACAACGGCGGGUCUGUACGUGGCGGCGCCACCACCGGCAGGUUAUCCAACGAAAGACGGCGAUCAUGGUUACGCUCAAAAUGCCCCCGUAGAAACCAAGUCCAGAGGUGAUGGCUUCUGGAAAGGAUGGUAUGCAAUCUUUAUGUGUUUCACCUCACCUUAUGUUAAUUAUUCGUAUAUAUGUAUAUACACACGCACAUCUAUCAUAUGUGUAGUGACUGAUUUGGUCGGUUUAAUUUGCAGUUGUGCUGGCUUGUGUUGCUGCUGUGCCUUGGACGCCUGCUUCUGAACACACAUACGCACGGUUGAUCGUUUGAUUUUGGGGAUUCUUUUUUAUUUCCAUUAUUAUAUUACGUGUAUAAAUAAUAAUAAUAAAAACAGUUCAGAUUGUUCCUUAGUUUGAUGAUAGGAACGCCCCCGUGGCUUGAGUUAUUAUUUUUGUAUACCAUUCUGUAGCCUUUUGAUACACAUACUCUUAUUUUUGUAUACCAUUCUGUAGACUUUUGAUACACAUACUCUUGUUCUUGUACUUUGAAUUUUAUUUACUAUGUAUUUAAUUCUCUGCAGUGGCUGAUUAAUUUAUCUUUAAAUCAAUGCUUGAUUGUAGAUACAUUUUCAAUACAAAAUAAGAACGAGUUGGUUUGGGGCCAACACAAACGCAUACAUACAUGCAAUCACAUGGAAAGCACGUUCAUAACAAGAAUGAAAAUAUCAUGAUUUUAACAUAUUUUUCAAAAACAUAUUUUUGGAUUUAUCCUAUGAAUAAUCAAAAGUCUAUCACAAUCUUUUAAAUCAGCAUUAUAAACCAUCAACUUAAAAAAGAAGGAGCAACCAACAUAAUUUUUGUAACAACGUUGUUUUAGUAAAAUUUAAUUUCAUUACGAAAAGUUCACUUCGUCUGGUCAACUAUAACAAAGAUAGAAAUACAAGCUCAUUCUUUAGCAUUGAUGCCGUGUGCUUUUGAGUCAGAGGAAUGAUUUUCAAUUGAGUGCUAACUGCUUCGAGAGAAAAUAACUCGUUCUCCGCUGGUGUAAAGACUAAAGAGAUGCCCGAUUUGGUGUACUUUCCAACCUUUUGAAUCCGAACACAAAAUUCCAAACAAAACUGUCAAAGCUGACCUUUGCGAAAGAAACGAAAUGACACCUGCACCCAUCAAGUGAAAAUAGUUUAUUUGAUGCGAUUUAUAGGAUAAUUUAUUUCAUUAUUUCUACUGUACCGACUAAAUAAUCUGGUAGAUAUCACAACACUUUAAUCAUAAAUUUUUUUAAAGAGUGGUAUCAAAUAAUUAGUUAGACUACAUUUUAAUUUGUUAAAAGUCUUCUUUAAGUCCUAUUUGUUAUUGAGAUACUGUAACUUUUAAGAUACAUCUCUUAUUGGGAAAA